Molecule: ribosomal RNA, 253 nt
Filed under: uncultured bacterium
Lineage: Bacteria
Description: partial 16S ribosomal RNA
Rfam family: Bacterial small subunit ribosomal RNA
Source: RNAcentral
UACGUAGGGGGCAAGCGUUGUCCGGAUUUAUUGGGCGUAAAGAGCGUGUAGGCGGUUUGGUAGGUCCGCUGUGAAAACUCGAGGCUCAACCUCGAGACGUCGGUUGAAACCGUAUGGCUAGAGUCCGGAAGAGGAGAGUGGAAUUCCCGGUGUAGCGGUGAAAUGCGCAGAUAUCGGGAAGAACACCCGUGGCGAAGGCGGCUCUCUGGGACGGUACUGACGCUGAGACGCGAAAGCGUGGGGAGCGAACAGG